This 526-nucleotide ribosomal RNA is filed under the name uncultured bacterium. RNAcentral's name for it is "bacterial SSU rRNA". It matches the Rfam family "Bacterial small subunit ribosomal RNA", at positions 355 to 895 of the family's 1533-position model. The record is from RNAcentral.
UGGGGAAUCUUGGACAAUGGGGGCAACCCUGAUCCAGCCAUGCCGCGUGAGUGAUGAAGGCCUUAGGGUCGUAAAGCUCUUUCGCCUGUGAAGAUAAUGACGGUAGCAGGUAAAGAAACCCCGGCUAACUCCGUGCCAGCAGCCGCGGUAAUACGGAGGGGGUUAGCGUUGUUCGGAAUUACUGGGCGUAAAGCGCACGUAGGCGGACCAGAAAGUUGGGGGUGAAAUCCCGGGGGCUCAACCCCGGAACUGCCUCCAAAACUAUUGGUCUAGAGUUCGAGAGAGGUGAGUGGAAUUCCAAGUGUAGAGGUGAAAUUCGUAGAUAUUUGGAGGAACACCAGUGGCGAAGGCGGCUCACUGGCUCGAUACUGACGCUGAGGUGCGAAAGUGUGGGGAGCAAACAGGAUUAGAUACCCUGGGUAGUCCACACCGUAAAACGAUGAAUGCCAGUCGUCGGGUAGCAUGCUAUUCGGUGACACACCUAACGGAUUAAGCAUUCCGGCCUGGGGAGUACGGUCGCAAGAUU